AACGAACGCUGGCGGCAGGCUUAACACAUGCAAGUCGAACGAGAUCUUCGGAUCUAGUGGCAGACGGGUGAGGAACACGUGGGAACAUCCCUUUCAGUUCGGAAUAACGUUGGGAAACUAACGCUAAUACCGGAUACGUCCUUCGGGAGAAAGAUUUAUCGCUGAAAGAUUGGCCCGCGUCUGAUUAGCUAGUUGGUGAGGUAAUGGCUCACCAAGGCUACGAUCAGUAGCUGAUCUGAGAGGAUGAUUAGCCACAUUGGGACUGAGACACGGCCCAAACUCCUACGGGAGGCAGCAGUGGGGAAUAUUGGACAAUGGGGGAAACCCUGAUGCAGCGACGCCGCGUGAGUGAAGAAGUAUUUCGGUAUGUAAAGCUCUAUCAGCAGGGACGAUAAUGACGGUACCUGACUAAGAAGCCCCGGCUAACUACGUGCCAGCCGCCGCGGUAA
RNAcentral lists this ribosomal RNA (449 nucleotides) under uncultured bacterium. RNAcentral describes it as "partial 16S ribosomal RNA". It matches the Rfam family "Bacterial small subunit ribosomal RNA", at positions 29 to 523 of the family's 1533-position model. The record is from RNAcentral.